UCCGAUCUCCUUACAUGAUCUUAGCCUUUCACAAGAGGUUACCAAGGUCGUUUCGGUCCUAUAAAAGGGCUAGGAUUUGCUUCGAUCUUCAGUAGCUUGUGAACUUCACUAAGCAAUCGAAUCAAAAUGAAAACUGUGCUUGCUAUCUUCCUCUUCGCCCUUAUUGCCGUAGCCAUGGCUGGCUUAUACUCUGGAUAUUAUCCAGGAUACUAUGGUGGAUACCGUGGUCUUUAUGGAGGCUAUUACGGCGGUCUUGGCCACUACGGUGCUUAUGGCUAUCCUUACAGCUAUGGUCACUAUGGCAGAUAUCUCUGGUAAAUUAAUAGUAACUCUGAAAGAUCCUGCAGUGAAUUUCGAGUUUCCCUUCUUCAACUUCUGAAAAUUUCUACUCUCCAUGAUUUCCUUCGCUAUAAUAUUUCUAGUUUUCUGUAAUUCUUCUUAAAAAACUGUAAAUAAAAAGUUUUACACUUUAAAAAUAUAUGUUUUCUCAGC
Centruroides sculpturatus (bark scorpion) is the source of this 492-nucleotide long non-coding RNA. RefSeq lists it as uncharacterized. The transcript is spliced from 3 exons. Lineage: Eukaryota; Metazoa; Arthropoda; Arachnida; Scorpiones; Buthidae. The record is from RefSeq and is a predicted model, not a curated record.